RNAcentral lists this long non-coding RNA (799 nucleotides) under Brassica napus (rape). RNAcentral describes it as "long non-coding RNA (BNAP_LNC018359)". Lineage: Eukaryota; Viridiplantae; Streptophyta; Magnoliopsida; Brassicales; Brassicaceae. The record is from RNAcentral.
GAGUAUCUGAGCAUACACUCUUCGUAAUAGAGCGUCACCUCUCUCGCGUUCGGACACUGAGUAAAGGUUUCGUUGACGGCAAAGGCGACGCAUCUACGGCAAACUUCCGGCGUGACAUCUCCGCGGCAGAGGUAAAGUCCGGUGACUCUGUCGGGAGGUUGCCCGACGGUGGCGUUCUGGAAUCCGGUGGCGUAGGAAGCGUUGGGAGAAGAGAGAGAAGACAAAAGGGUUCUGAGAUUGGCCAAGUAAGUGCUGUUUCUUGAGAAAGUUGUGGUAUUAGGACAGAUACGGUAUACGUAAGUAGGAUUUUGAGCACAGGCUCUGAAGCUAGUGAGAAAGGAUAAAAGGAAAAGGAAGACGAAAGUGGAAGAAGACAUAACUGGAGUUUCUUGAUUUGUGUUUUUCAUCAUGUGAAUAUCUAUAUGAUAUACUCCCUCGGUUUCAAUAUACUUGAUGUUUUAGAGAAGUUUUGUUGUUUCAUAAUAGAUGAAGUUUGCACAAAUCUAUGUAAUUUUAACUUUGACAUCUCCGCGGCAGAGGUAAAGUCCGGUGACUCUGUCGGGAGGUUGCCCGACGGUGGCGCUCUGGAAUCCGGUGGCGUAGGAAGCGUUGGGAGAAGAGAGAGAAGACAAAAGGGUUCUGAGAUUGGCCAAGUAAGUGCUGUUUCUUGAGAAAGUAGUGGUAUUUGGACAGAUAAGGUGUACGAAUCUGGGAUCUUGAGCAAAAGUUCCGAAGCUAGUGAGAAAGGAGAAAAGGAAAAGGAAGACGAAAGUGGAAGAAGACAUAACUGGAGUUUCUU